UCUCACAGUGUGCCAGGACCCUGUCAGGGGUGUGUGGGGUCUCACAGUGUGUCAGGACCCUGUCAGGGGUGUGUGGGGUCUCACAGUGUGUCAGGACCCUGUCGGGUUGUGUGGGGUCUCACAGUGUGUCCGGACCCUGUCAGGGGUGUGUGGUGUCUCACAGUGUGUCAGGGCCCUGUCAGUGGUGUAUGGCGUCUGACAGUGUGUCUAGACCCUGUCAGGUGUGUGUGGUUGCACAAUGUGACAGGACCCUGACAGGGGUGUGUGGGCUCUCACAGUGAGUCAGGACCGUGUUAGAGAUGGGUGGAGACCCACAGUGUGUCUGGACCCUGUCAGGUAUGUGGGGUCUCAGAAUGUGACUGUAUUCUGUCAGGUGUGUGUGUGUUGGUCUCACAGUGUAUCAGGACCCUUCAGUGUUAUGUGGUGUCUCACAGUGUUUCGGGACCUGGACAGGGGUGUGUGGUGUCUCACAGUGUGUCGGGACCUGGACAGGGGUGUGUGGGGUGUCACAGUGUGUCGGGACCCUGUCAGGGGUGUGUGGGGUCUCAAAGUGUGUCGGGACCUGGACAGGGGUGUGUGGGGUGUCACAGUGUGUCAGACUCUGUCAGGCGUGUGUGGGAUCUCACAGUGUGUCAGGACCCUUCAGUGUUAUGUGGUAUCUCACAGUGUGUCGGGACCUGGACAGGGGUGUGUGGGGUCUCAAAGUGUGUCAGGACCCUGUCAGGGGUGUGGGAUCUCACAAUGUAACUGUAUCCUUGGAGGUGUGAGUUGGGAUUCACAGUGCAUCCGGACCCUUCAGAGUUAUGUGCUGUCUCACAGUGUGUCGGGACCUGGACAGGGAUGUGUGGGGUCUCACAGUGUGUCAGGACCAUGUCAGGGAUGUGUGAGUUCUCACAGUGUGUCAGGACCCUGUCAGGGGUGUGUGGGGUCUCACAGUGCGUCAGGACCCUGUCAGGGGUGUGUGGGGUCUCACCGUGUGUCAGGAUCCCGUCAGGCAUGUGUGGGGUCUCACAGUGCGUCAGGACAAUGUCAGGGGUGUGUGGGGUCUCACAGUGAGUCAGGGCACUGUCAGGGGUGUGUGGGGUCUCACAGUGUGUCAGGACCCUGUCAGUGGUGUGUGGGGUCUCACAGUGUGUCAGGACCCUGUCAAGGGUGUGUGGGGUCUCACAGUGUGUCAGCACCCCGUCAGGGGUGUGUGGGGUCUCACUGUGUGUCAGGACCCUGUCAGGAGUGUGUGGGGUCUCACAGUGUGUCAGGACCCUGUCAGGAGUGUGUGGGUCUCACAAUGUGUCAGGACCCUGUCAGUGGUGUGUGGGGUCUCACAGUGUGUCAGGACACUUCCAGGAGUGUGUGGGAUUUCACAGUGCGUUCAGACCCUGGCAGGUGUGUGUUGCUUCUCAGUGUGUGUCAGGAACCUAAAAUGAGUUUGUGGGGCAUCACAGAGUGUCAGGACCCUGUCAGAGACGUGUGGGAUCUCACAGUGUGUCAGGCUCCUGACAUGGGUGUGUGGAAUCUCACAGUGUGUCAGGACCCUGCUAGGGGUGUGUGGGGUCUCAGAGAGUGUCAGGAUCCUGCUAGGGGUGUGUGGGGUCUCAGAAUGUGACUGUAUCCUGUCAGGUGUGUCUGGGGUCUCACAGUGUAUCAGGACCCUUCAGAAUUAUCUGCUGUCCCACAGUGUGUCAGGACCCUGUCAGGGGUGUGUGGCGUCUCACAGUGUGUCAGGACCCUGUCAGGGGUGUGUGGGGUCUCACUUGUGUCAGGACAC
Molecule: RNA transcript, 1765 nt
Organism: Hypanus sabinus (Atlantic stingray)
Lineage: Eukaryota; Metazoa; Chordata; Chondrichthyes; Myliobatiformes; Dasyatidae
Gene name: keratin-associated protein 5-4-like
Exons: 2
Source: RefSeq, a predicted model, not a curated record